RNAcentral lists this ribosomal RNA (253 nucleotides) under uncultured bacterium. Its description in RNAcentral is "partial 16S ribosomal RNA". It matches the Rfam family "Bacterial small subunit ribosomal RNA", at positions 524 to 776 of the family's 1533-position model. The record is from RNAcentral.
UACGUAGGGUGCAAGCGUUAAUCGGAAUUACUGGGCGUAAAGCGUGCGCAGGCGGUUCGCUAAGACAGAUGUGAAAUCCCCGGGCUUAACCUGGGAACUGCAUUUGUGACUUGCGGGCUAGAGUAUGGCAGAGGGGGGUAGAAUUCCACGUGUAGCAGUGAAAUGCGUAGAGAUGUGGAGGAAUACCGAUGGCGAAGGCAGCCCCCUGGGCCAAUACUGACGCUCAUGCACGAAAGCGUGGGGAGCAAACAGG